This 420-nucleotide ribosomal RNA is filed under the name uncultured bacterium. Its description in RNAcentral is "bacterial SSU rRNA". It matches the Rfam family "Bacterial small subunit ribosomal RNA", at positions 356 to 767 of the family's 1533-position model. The record is from RNAcentral.
GGGGAAUCUUCCGCAAUGGACGAAAGUCUGACGGAGCAACGCCGCGUGUAUGAUGAAGGUCUUCGGAUUGUAAAGUACUGUCAUUGGGGAAGAACGGUUUUCUUGAAAAGAUUGAGAAGACAUGACGGUACCCAAGGAGGAAGCCCCGGCUAACUACGUGCCAGCAGCCGCGGUAAUACGUAGGGGGCAAGCGUUGUCCGGAAUUAUUGGGCGUAAAGGGCGCGUAGGCGGGCCUUUAAGUCCGGUGUGAAAGAUCAGGGCUCAACCCUGAGAGUGCAUCGGAAACUGGAGGCCUUGAGGACAGGAGAGGAAAGUGGAAUUCCACGUGUAGCGGUGAAAUGCGUAGAUAUGUGGAGGAACACCAGUGGCGAAGGCGGCCACCUGGACAGUAACUGACGCUGAGGCGCGAAAGUGUGGGUA